AAAAGCUUUAUAAAUGGUAUGCUAACGUAGUUCAGACACUAACAUAUCUUGUUUUUUAUUUUUGGGUUCAGCCGUUUACUACCCUCAUGACGAGAUUGCAACUCUCGGAUAUCCUAAGUUUGGUGGAGCUUCCUUCUUCGAUUCAAAAUCUCAAUAAACUGAAGCAGUUGGACAUUAGAGACUGCAAAAAUCUGGAGACUCUUCCAACAGGCAUAAACCUCCAAUCACUCGAGUAUUUAAAUCUCUUUGGAUGUUCACGGUUGAGGAGUUUUCCUAAUAUCUCAGUAAACAUCAAAGGGCUGGAUCUAAGUUUUACAGCGAUUGAAGAGGUUCCUUGGUGGAUCGAGAAAUUAUCUAUGCUCAGAUAUCUAUUAAUGGCGAAAUGCAACAACUUACGGCGUGUAUCCCUGAACAUUUUAAAACUAAGACAUCUUCAGAAGGGUGACUUUGGGAACUGUAAGGCAUUGACUGAGGCUAGCUGGGAUGGUUGUCCAAGCGUUGUGGCGAUUACAACGGACAAUAUUCACUCUAGGCUUCAUGAUAAGGCUGGUUGUUCUAUCUCAAUGGCCCAGCUCGAUUUCAUCGGCUGCUUCAACUUUGAUCACAAAGUUCUAUUUCAACCACAAACAGUUCCCAUGCAAGUGAUACUAUCAGGCAAAGAAGUGCCUUCAUAUUUCACUCACCGUACUACCGGAACUUCUCUCACUAAUAUUCCUCUACAUCACAUCUCUCCCUCCCAACCAUUCAUCAGAUUCAAGGUUUGCGCCUUGUGCGAUGUUGGAUCUAUUAGCACAGAUGGGUUUAAUACGUUCGAAAUCCAGGUAUGUUUUCGGUUCAUAGACAUAUCCAGAAACUACUUUGAUCAUGUUGAUUUCCAACGAAGUUUCUCAUCGGAGUUGGGAGGACAUCUGUUUAUAAAAGACUGUUGUGUCCCUCUAAACAAAGACAUUACACCUCUAGCUCACGUGGAUAUACAAUUUCGUCUCAUUAAGGAAAACAGUGAGUUUAAAUUAAAAGGAUGUGGCAUACUGCUUCCCGAGAACAAUGAAUCGCUGGGUAGCCAACCUUGUAAUCCAAAUAUUCUUCAGCAUGUUGGUGGAGGAAACACAAGCAACGAUGCUUACAUGGGAGGCCAUGAGACUGAACAAAGCCAAGAGUGUGCACAUGUUUGUGAAGCUGAGGAAGACAAUGUUGUUAAUGAUGGAUGCCGUGAGACUGAGCAAAGUCAUGACAAAUUUGUAGGCAGCAAUGUAGAGGCUUUGAGAAACAUCAAACGAAUGUGGGUAAGAUUACUGGACAUCUUUUGCUUCGGAUUACGUGAAGAAACAUUGAAUCUUUGAUUGCAAAUCUUUGGAAACCUUUACCUUCAUCGGUGUUUUGCUGAUUCCAACACAACAAUAAGAUACGCCUGAGAAUUCUUCAGUUUCCCCUACUGGACAUGCAUUAUCAGGUAUCCUAUCUAAACUAAUAACUAUAAGAAGAUUCUGCCACCGAAAAAGGCGAUGGUUUCAACUGUUACGUUGACAUAAAACUGUCCUUCAAUUUCUUUUAGGAGAUGGCGAUCGAGUUCCAAUUAUACUUCAUGUAGCCUUUGCGUUCCACAAUCCAUGCUAAUGAAACAGAGAUGUAUUUAUGAACAUCAUCCUCUUAUUUCCUUAAUUGUUAUUUUGCUCUGCUCUAUCAAUAUUGACAUAUGAUGAAAAGUAAUUUAAGCAAGUUUCAAACUUUGACGUAUGAUGUGAAAGAGAGAUAUUUUGGGAAGGAAUGCAGGUACUAAGUUGAUCCUAAGACCACCAUUAUCGGGCGAUCCUUAGCAGGGUUUUUAGGUUAAUGAGUGAUUUAUUUAAAUAAAAAAAAAAAUUAAAGCCUUGUAACCGAUCCUUAAUUAGCCAUUUCUGAUAUCGAUCUUUCCAAAGGUUAUACAACCACGUGUCAUCAUUGAGGGAAGACGAAAACGUUGAUGACCGAUGGCAUUCUACAGAUCUCUACGAAAGCUAGCUGAAACCAAUCCCCUUAAAAAGGCCAGAUUAUUUUUCCAGCUUCCGGCGGUGGAGCCGUUUCUCCGAUCGCACCGUCGUUUCCGCCGCGCCGCUCCCACAUUACAUGCACAGAUUGCCUCCCCUUUCCUAAUGGUUCGUCCCUCUCCACGGACCUCUAUUCCUCUCUUCUCCACCCUGGAAACUGCUCCAGUCCGCGACGCCUCUUCACUGGCGAGGAAACGGCGCGUCUUGAGGAAGGUCAAGGCUCUGAGCGUUAGAUUGAUGUGGUUGUGGUGAUGAUGGUAGAGUUCGAGGAUGGAAAUGGAGAGACUUUGCCUAUUCUACAGAGAACCAUGUCAAGCCAUUGCUUGAAUUGACUAAUCCACAACACAAGGACUUUUGUUUUUCUAUGGAGUGCCUUUGGCUCACACCCUUUGAGCUCUCGACUGAAGCUCCUCCUCCUGUAUCAUCGUCAAGCAACCAGUACUUGUGACUCUCAUUGAGGUAUGUCUAACUCUGGGAACUCACAUCUUCCGCGAGGUAGCCUUGCUGGGCUCGAGCCGAUGAGUUUCAUUACCUUGGCAACACCUCGUCUAGGAGUGAGAGGUAGAAAGCAGGUUCUAUCCAUUUCCUGUUAUAAUAAUUGGAACUCAUCAAUUGUUUAGUAUGAUGUUAAAACAGUAGUUCUUUGGUCCCUCCCAUUUUGGAAUUAUGAGACUGAUCAUAGAAGAAAUUGUAGUGUCCACUCUAGCUCAA
Brassica napus (rape) is the source of this 2735-nucleotide RNA transcript. RefSeq lists it as uncharacterized. The transcript has 3 exons. The record is from RefSeq and is a predicted model, not a curated record. NCBI's taxonomy places the organism in Eukaryota, Viridiplantae, Streptophyta, Magnoliopsida, Brassicales, Brassicaceae.